GCUUACGCCAUACACUGAAGGCGCCCGAUCUCGUCUGAUCUCGGAAGCUAAGCAGGGUAGGCCGGGUUAGUACUUGGAUGGGAGACGCCUGGGAAUACCAGGUGCUGUAAGCU
This 113-nucleotide ribosomal RNA is filed under the name Larimichthys crocea (large yellow croaker). The record is from RNAcentral. Lineage: Eukaryota; Metazoa; Chordata; Actinopteri; Sciaenidae.